UUUCCCCCCAAAUACAGAAUCUUCUAGCCUCUUUGUGCAUUCUUGUAGGAGGAUUCAUAAAGUUAUACAACAGUAAGAUAAGGCUGAAAUACGAUAGGCUGCGUUAAUUCACCCAAUCUUUUACCGUGAGAAGGUAAGUGCGGCGGGGUGCGCCUCAGCACGAGCUAAACGUUAACGUAGGGCCUGUGUGGCGCGCGUGUCACUACACCCUGUGACGUAGCGCUUGUGCAUGAAUAAUAGCUCGCGCCCCUUAUCCCCGGUGAGCACGCGUGUAAAAAAAAAAAAAAAAAAAAAAAAAAAAAAAGGAGGGGGGCGUCCGAACGGUUACCGGGCAGCGAUGGUAGCGAGGGAAGGAGCGCCUCCGAGGUCCGAGCAGGUCUCACAGGAUACCCAAACAUAUAAGUGCACACUGCAGAAACAGGGAGCCAGAAAAGAGCAUUCAGGAGGCUGAAAUGGAUUUAUUUUUAUGAUGCCAAGAAAUAAAACUGCACUUACUAAUAGAGAUCAUCAAAAAAGUGACCCCACGAUUACCCCAAAACUUGUUUAUACCAAUAAACCCGUUCCAGUAAUGUCUAAAGUUCAAAUGC
Long non-coding RNA from Electrophorus electricus (electric eel), 587 nucleotides. Lineage: Eukaryota; Metazoa; Chordata; Actinopteri; Gymnotiformes; Gymnotidae. The record is from Ensembl.